UAUGAUUGCUUAGUGGAAGAU
This is a non-coding RNA of Caenorhabditis elegans, 21 nucleotides long. The record is from Ensembl. Lineage: Eukaryota; Metazoa; Nematoda; Chromadorea; Rhabditida; Rhabditidae.